CAUGCGCUAACUAAAGAUGAGCUUUUAUUCUGAGACUAAACAAAAGUUUUGUUCACUGAGUGAACAGGUCUACAUUGGGCAAGAUUUGAAGUCAGAGUCUGGGCAAAAUCUCUGGGGUUUUUAACUGAGAACAUUUAUCUGACUGGAGCAAGAGGAAUAUGAAGAUACUUUACUGACUCAUCAGCUUCAGUUCAUCGAAUAACAAGGUUGUAGGAGGUCAUGGAUUCAUCUGGGUGCUGCAGAGGAGGUCAAAGAAGAAACCAAUAUCAGUGCUGGCUGAUGUGAUUCAUUCACCUGCAGAUGCUCCCACUUCCAAUACCCAUGGCUGCCACUGUCCUGAAAUACAGAUAUCAGCUAGAGAGAUAAAUACAUUUUAUUCUUAAAAUACAAGGUCAUAAUUGAGAAGAGAAGUGCCAGGGUUUCAAAGUGGCCCAUGAUGGAUCUGUGACAUGAUCAAACCCAACACUAAGUCUGCAGCCACAGAACAAGACUGCGUGAAGGAUUCUGAAAAACAAAUGGUCAGAAGCGUUUCCUGCUCGACAGGGACAGACACAGCCACCUGCAGCUACCUGAAAGGACACAACUGUGUUGUCUUCUGCCAGACUCACAAAUUGUUUUCUCUAUUAAUUUUUCAAUUUAACAGCAUUAGCGAGGAGGGAAUUAGCUUUUGGGUUGAUUUUCUUUAUUAAAGCAAAAAUCUCUCAUAAAAGAGACUUGUUUAUUUCAG
RNAcentral lists this long non-coding RNA (727 nucleotides) under Parus major (Great Tit). RNAcentral describes it as "lncRNA (ENSPMJG00000000520.1)". Lineage: Eukaryota; Metazoa; Chordata; Aves; Passeriformes; Paridae. The record is from RNAcentral.